RNAcentral lists this long non-coding RNA (563 nucleotides) under Macaca mulatta (Rhesus monkey). RNAcentral's name for it is "lncRNA (ENSMMUG00000044618.2)". Lineage: Eukaryota; Metazoa; Chordata; Mammalia; Primates; Cercopithecidae. The record is from RNAcentral.
AGGAGUCAGUGAUGCUCAGUGAAUGAGUGCUCAAAAAAAGGCUCUGGGAGGCAGUUAACAGGAGUGGAAGAGGAACAAGAGGCAGCAGAAGAAAGGCCCCAAGAGAAAGUAAUUCCAGAAGCCAUAUGGAAGAUUGACCAGAGGGGCAAUGCUAGAGGCUGGAUGGUUAUUGAAAUUGCCUGGUGAAGCACUAUUGAGGAGCUGAAAUGGGAAAGGAACAGUCGGAAUAGAAGAGAAGAAGUGCUCGUAAGUGGUAUUAACUCUCUUGGUUUACAUCCUUGGUUUGUAAGAGGAGGAUGUCCACAAAGUUUUGUGAAUUGCCCAAGAUUGCUAAGUUAAUAAGCAGCUGUUCAGAACCUUAGUCCAGCACACUUUUUAUCCCAUUGGUAGAAUAGUGGGAAAAGAAACUAAUGGAAAUAAAAAAUCUUUGACUUUGAGAAUUAGACUUUGGGGAGCUUAUCUAAUGCAAACACUCAAUGCCAUCAGAUUUUGUUCAUAACUGAUUUUAAAUGUGAACCUCCUCAAAGAUAUUACUUUCUUCUUAACUUAUAAGACCUGCCAAU